RNAcentral lists this long non-coding RNA (542 nucleotides) under Mytilus galloprovincialis (Mediterranean mussel). The record is from RNAcentral. Lineage: Eukaryota; Metazoa; Mollusca; Bivalvia; Mytilida; Mytilidae.
AAAUUUUUUUUUUCCUCAAAUUUUUUUUUCCUCAAAAUUUUUUUUUCCUCAAAAAAUUUUUUUCUCAAAUUUUUUUUCCUAAAAAUAUUUUUUGCUCAAAUUUUUUUUUCAUCCAAUUUUUUUUUUCCUCAAAAAGUUUGUCAAAUUUUUUUUUCGUUUCCUUAUUCGGUUUCUUUUUCCUUAUUCGAUUUUCAUUUCCUUAUACAGUUUCUAUUUCCUUAUUCGAUUUCCAUUUCCUUAUUCGAUUUUCAUUUCCUUAUUCGGUUUCUUUUUCCUUUUUCAAUAUUCAUUUCCUUUUUCGGUUUCUAGUUCCUUAUUCGGUUUCUAUUUCCUUAUUGGAUUUUCAUUUCUUAUUCGAUUUCCAUUUCCUUAUUCAAUUUCCAUUUCCUUAUUCGGUUUCUUUUUCCUUUUUCAAUGUUCAUUUCCUUUUUCGGUUUCUAUUUCCUUAUUGGGUUUCUAUUUCCUUAUUGGAUUUUCGUUUCCUUAUUCGAUUUCCAUUUCCUUAUUCGAUUUCCAUUUCCUAAUUCGCUUUCUUUUUCCUU